RNAcentral lists this ribosomal RNA (1188 nucleotides) under Triticum aestivum (bread wheat). RNAcentral describes it as "partial small subunit ribosomal RNA". Lineage: Eukaryota; Viridiplantae; Streptophyta; Magnoliopsida; Poales; Poaceae. The record is from RNAcentral.
AUGAAGGUGUUCAGAGGCAAGAUUUGGGCAGCACUAGGGUCACUCAUGGAUCAUGUAGGCGCAGCAUCCAACAAGGCUUCCACGGCGGCGGUGCCAGACCGAGCGCUCCUCACGGACAUCGAGGCGGCCAUCGCGCGGUGCACGGACGGUGGAGGGGGCGGGAGCGUCGGUGACGACCGGCACGUGCACGAGAUCCUCUUCCUCGUCUCCAACGCCCCGGGCGCGAUCACCUUCCUCUCCCGCCGCAUCACGGCGCGCCUAGAGGCCGCGCGGACCCCGGCCACCGCGCUCCGGUCUCUGCUCCUCGUCCACCGCCUCCUCCGCGCGGGCGACCGCUACUUCGAGCAGGACUUCCGAGGCCUCUGGGCCUCCCACGACCUCCGCGUCGACGCGCCGCGUUGCGGCUGCUCCUGUUCUCCCCUCGCUGCCUCAGGCGCCGGCGUCAACUAUGUCACGGCCAGCACGGUGACCGCCACCGGCGCGUGCUCUUUCCUCCACGGCUACACGGCCUACCUCGAGGAGCGCAUGCAGUGGGUGAUCAACCAGUCCGGCAACCUGGAGCCCACCCGCGCCCCACCACAAGAUCACGACGACAAGCCGCACCCGGCCUCCUCCUACGACGCCGUCGCCGCCAAGGAGCUCCUCUUCAAGCUCACCAUGUGCCAGAGGCUGCUUGACGUCGCUGUCCAGCUCCUGCCGGACAACAACACAAGCGCCAGCGCCGCCGCGCGGUCAGCCUUCGGCAUUGUCCUCCGGGAGAGCUUCAAGGUCUACGACGCCUUCAAUGAAGGCAUCGACGUGCUGCUAAGGUCAAGAAGCGUCGGUCGUCUCAGCAAGUCUCUCAGGGUUUCAGCUCAGGAGGUGCUGAGGAAGGCGUGCGCUCAGACGCCUGAGCUGAAAGAGUUCUACCACAAGUGCAAGAAGAGCAAUGUCGGCAAGAUCACGGAGUACCCCGUCGUCAGGGUCGUUACGCCGGCGCAGGCCUCGGCAAUUGAGCUCAUGCCGCCGGUCUGUGAAGAGGAUGGUCGGAAGGAGAUUGGCGGCGCCGGUGUGGUAGCGGAGGAGAACGAAGGCGACGCGCCCUUUGAGAGCAAGCUGGAGACGACUAUCAGUGCGGUGUGGGUCGAGUUCGACGACGAAGAUCACCAGGCUGGCCGUGAGUUUACCGGGGAUGAUCACAGCAGCUAG